RNAcentral lists this ribosomal RNA (484 nucleotides) under uncultured bacterium. RNAcentral's name for it is "partial 16S ribosomal RNA". It matches the Rfam family "Bacterial small subunit ribosomal RNA", at positions 28 to 507 of the family's 1533-position model. The record is from RNAcentral.
AUUGAACGCUGGCGGCAUGCUUUACACAUGCAAGUCGAACGGCAGCGCGGGCUUCGGCCUGGCGGCGAGUGGCGAACGGGUGAGUAAUGCAUCGGAACGUGCCCAGUAGUGGGGGAUAGCCCGGCGAAAGCCGGAUUAAUACCGCAUACGACCUGAGGGUGAAAGCGGGGGACCGAAAGGCCUCGCGCUAUUGGAGCGGCCGAUGUCGGAUUAGCUAGUUGGUGGGGUAAAGGCUUACCAAGGCGACGAUCCGUAGCUGGUCUGAGAGGACGACCAGCCACACUGGGUCUGAGACACGGCCCAGACUCCUACGGGAGGCAGCAGUGGGGAAUUUUGGACAAUGGGGGCAACCCUGAUCCAGCCAUGCCGCGUGCGGGAAGAAGGCCUUCGGGUUGUAAACCGCUUUUGUUCGGGAAGAAAUCCUCUGGGCUAAUACCCCGGGGGGAUGACGGUACCGGAAGAAUAAGCACCGGCUAACUACGUG